UUGACUUCUUGGCCUUUUGGCUGGGAUCAAGUGGAUUCUCUGUUCUUAUCAACUUAGUGUGUGUUGUGUCCUCUCCAAGGACAAACAAAUUAAAUAGGUUUUUGGAGCAGAACGACAGAAUGGAGUAUAUUCAUUCCACUCAUCGGUCUGGGGUGUGAUUUCUCCUGAAAUGGUCCACGCCUU
Small nuclear RNA from Mastomys coucha (southern multimammate mouse), 183 nucleotides. RefSeq annotates it as U2 spliceosomal RNA. The record is from RefSeq and is a predicted model, not a curated record. NCBI's taxonomy places the organism in Eukaryota, Metazoa, Chordata, Mammalia, Rodentia, Muridae. The transcript has a single exon.